This 301-nucleotide ribosomal RNA is filed under the name uncultured bacterium. RNAcentral's name for it is "partial 16S ribosomal RNA". It matches the Rfam family "Bacterial small subunit ribosomal RNA", at positions 509 to 809 of the family's 1533-position model. The record is from RNAcentral.
CAGUCGCCACGGUAAUACGGAGGGUGCAAGCGUUAAUCGGAAUUACUGGGCGUAAAGCGCACGCAGGCGGUCUGACAAGUCAGAUGUGAAAUCCCCGGGCUUAACCUGGGAACUGCAUUUGAAACUGUCAGGCUGGAGUCUUGUAGAGGGGGGUGGAAUUCCAGGUGUAGCGGUGAAAUGCGUAGAGAUCUGGAGGAAUACCGGUGGCGAAGGUGGCCCCCUGGACAAAGACUGACGCUCAGGUGCGAAAGCGUGGGGAGCAAACAGGAUUAGAUACCCGAGUAGUCCCUGUCUCUUAUUA